RNAcentral lists this long non-coding RNA (610 nucleotides) under Phascolarctos cinereus (koala). RNAcentral's name for it is "lncRNA (ENSPCIG00000016318.2)". The record is from RNAcentral. Lineage: Eukaryota; Metazoa; Chordata; Mammalia; Diprotodontia; Phascolarctidae.
GAAUGGUUUUUCAAAAUUUUAUCUUCUCUUCUUUCCUCAUGCUUGCACCACCCCCAAUUCCACCCUAGGUUACUACUACUGACCCCCUGCAUUGUUCCAGUCCCCUCCAGAAGGCAGUUUCACCCACUUUAGGAACCUAUGGUAUACACCUAUAGCCACUCACCUUUGCAAAUGAAAGGAGGUGUGAACUCUGGCUAUGGUAGCAGGACCCAUGAAGUUACUGGGCAGAGUCCAUCAGUGAUGGGUUAGAGGAAUGGAUGAUGCCUUUCUUUCGGAGGAAAGCUAGUCUAUACAAAGGAAUGAGCAGGUGACUAGGAGGAAGCAGAUGAGUGGUGAGCACCAUCUACUGGAAGAGAGCUUAACUGCGGAGAGGAGUGAAGCCCAGCAAAAGCCAUGGGACUGGAAGUAGGGAUUGUGGACAACAGAAACACUUUCAAGAGGUCUGCCAUCUGCUGGAAACUGAGGUAAGCCGCAGUGAAUCGAUGGAAGACUGCCUGACCUAAACACUGGGGGAGACCUGCGAUGCUACUGAAAGAGCGGCAGGAGGCAUAUAGAACUGGAAAUAAGCAAGAAUUGCUGUGGACUGCAGCGCUAAUGAGGGAGAACAAUA